This 345-nucleotide ribosomal RNA is filed under the name uncultured bacterium. RNAcentral's name for it is "bacterial SSU rRNA". It matches the Rfam family "Bacterial small subunit ribosomal RNA", at positions 29 to 402 of the family's 1533-position model. The record is from RNAcentral.
AGCGAACGCUGGCGGCAGGCCUAAUACAUGCAAGUCGAGCGCCCGUAGCAAUACGGGAGCGGCAGACGGGUGAGUAACACGUGGGAACGUACCCUUCGGUUCGGAAUAACCCAGGGAAACUUGGGUUAAUACCGGAUACGCCCUUACGGGAAAGAUUAUUGCCGAAGGAUCGGCCCGCGUCCGAUUAGCUAGUUGGUGAGGUAACGGCUCACCAAGGCGACGAUCAGUAGCUGGUCUGAGAGGAUGANCAGCCACAUUGGGACUGAGACACGGCCCAAACUCCUACGGAGGCAGCAGUGGGGAAUAUUGGACAAUGGGCGCAAGCCUGAUCCAGCCAUGCCGCGU